RNAcentral lists this ribosomal RNA (478 nucleotides) under uncultured bacterium. RNAcentral's name for it is "bacterial SSU rRNA". It matches the Rfam family "Bacterial small subunit ribosomal RNA", at positions 28 to 500 of the family's 1533-position model. The record is from RNAcentral.
GAUGAACGCUAGCGGCAGGCUUAAUACAUGCAAGUCGUGGGGCAGCAUGAGUAGCAAUACUUGAUGGCGACCGGCAAACGGGUGAGGAACACGUACACAACCUUCCUUCAAGCGGGGAAUAGCCCAGAGAAAUUUGGAUUAAUACCCCAUAAUAUAUUUGGUAAGGCAUCUUAUUAAUAUUAAAAGCUUCGGCACUUGAUGAUGGGUGUGCGGCUGAUUAGAUAGUUGGCGGGGUAACGGCCCACCAAGUCUACGAUCAGUAGCUGAUGUGAGAGCAUGAUCAGCCACACGGGCACUGAGACACGGGCCCGACUCCUACGGGAGCAGCAGUAAGGAAUAUUGGACAAUGGACGAAAGUCUGAUCCAGCCAUGCCGCGUGAAGGAUUAAGGUCCUCUGGAUUGUAAACUUCUUUAGUAUGGGACGAAAAAAGGGCAUUCUGUUCACGUUGACGGUACCAUAUGAAUAAGCACCGGCUAA